AACGAACGCUGGCGGCAUGCCUAACACAUGCAAGUCGAACGAAGGCUUCGGCCUUAGUGGCGCACGGGUGCGUAACGCGUGGGAAUCUGCCCUUUGCUUCGGAAUAACAGUUAGAAAUGACUGCUAAUACCGGAUGAUGUCGCACGACCAAAGAUUUAUCGGCAAAGGAUGAGCCCGCGUAGGAUUCGCUAGUUGGUGGGGUAAAGGCCUACCAAGGCGACGAUCCUUAGCUGGUCUGAGAGGAUGAUCAGCCACACUGGGACUGAGACACGGCCCAGACUCGUACGGGAGGGAGCAGUGGGGAAUAUUGGACAAUGGGCGAAAGCCUGAUCCAGCAAUGCCGGGUGAGUGAUGAAGGCCGUAGGGUUGUAAAGCUCUUUUACCCGGGAUGAGAAUGACAGUACCGGGAGAAUAAGCUCCGGCUAACUACGUG
This 433-nucleotide ribosomal RNA is filed under the name uncultured bacterium. RNAcentral describes it as "partial 16S ribosomal RNA". It matches the Rfam family "Bacterial small subunit ribosomal RNA", at positions 29 to 507 of the family's 1533-position model. The record is from RNAcentral.